GGGCAUUUGGUCUAGUGGU
RNAcentral lists this non-coding RNA (19 nucleotides) under Arabidopsis thaliana (thale cress). The record is from RNAcentral. Lineage: Eukaryota; Viridiplantae; Streptophyta; Magnoliopsida; Brassicales; Brassicaceae.